UACGAAGGGGGCUAGCGUUGUUCGGAUUUACUGGGCGUAAAGCGCACGUAGGCGGAUUGUUAAGUUAGAGGUGAAAUCCCAGGGCUCAACUCUGGAACUGCCUUUGAUACUGGCAAUCUUGAGUCCGAGAGAGGUGAGUGGAAUUCCUAGUGUAGAGGUGGAAUUCGUAGAUAUUAGGAAGAACACCAGUGGCGAAGGCGGCUCACUGGCUCGGUACUGACGCUGAGGUGCGAAAGCGUGGGGAGCAAAC
This 250-nucleotide ribosomal RNA is filed under the name uncultured bacterium. RNAcentral describes it as "partial 16S ribosomal RNA". It matches the Rfam family "Bacterial small subunit ribosomal RNA", at positions 524 to 773 of the family's 1533-position model. The record is from RNAcentral.